RNAcentral lists this ribosomal RNA (2029 nucleotides) under metagenome. RNAcentral describes it as "bacterial LSU rRNA". It matches the Rfam family "Bacterial large subunit ribosomal RNA", at positions 831 to 2886 of the family's 2925-position model. The record is from RNAcentral.
AAUCGAACCCGGAGAUAGCUGGUUCUCCUCGAAAUAGCUUUAGGGCUAGCCUCAUGGAUCAUUGAUGGGGGUAGAGCACUGAAUGUGCGCGGGGGCCACAAAGCCUACCAAACGCUAUCAAACUUCGAAUACCAUACAAUGCAGACCAUGGGAGUCAGUCCGCGAGAGAUAAGUUCCGCGGGCAAAAGGGGAACACCCCAGAUCAACCGCUAAGGUCCCCAAGUUCACGUUAAGUGGAGAAGGAUGUGGAAUUGCACAGACAACCAGGAUGUUGGCUCAGAAGCAGCCACACAUUUAAAGAGUGCGUAAUAGCUCACUGGUCGAGUGAUUGUGCGCCGAAGAUGUCCGGGGCUAAACGUGACACCGAAGCGAUGGGUGCAUCUGAAGAAGAUGCGCGGUAGAGGAGCAAUGUGCAGAGGCAGAAGCCGUAUCGAGAGGCACGGUGGACACUGCACAAGAGAGAAUGCCGGUAUGAGUAGCGAGAGGCAUGCGAGAAACAUGCCCGUCGAAAGCCCAAGGUUUCCUGGGGAAGGUUCAUCCGCCCAGGGUAAGUCGGGGCCUAAGCCGAGGACGGAAGUCGUAGGCGAUGGACAGCAGGUGUAGAUUCCUGCACUACCGAUGGAAUGAAGCAGUGACACAGAAGGAUAACUCGAGCAGGGUGAUGGUCAACCCUGUGCAAGCAUCAAGGUUGGGUUGUAGUGAAGUACGCAACCCUACAAGCUGAGGUGUGAUGCGGACCGAAAUUUCAGUAGGGAAGCGAGUGAGUUCACGCUGGCGAGAAAAGCUGCUAGUACAUCCAAAGGUACCCGUACCGGAAACCGACGCAGGUGGGCGAGGAGAGAAUCCUGAGACGAACGGGAGAACCCUUGUUAAGGAACUCGGCAAAAUGACCCCGUAACUUCGGGAUAAGGGGUGCCUGCGAGAGCAGGCCGCAGAGAAUAGUCACAAGCGACUGUUUAGCAAAAACACAGGUAUCUGCGAAAGCGAGAGCUGACGUAUAGGUGCUGACACCUGCCCGGUGCUGGAAGGUUAAGGGAACAUGUUAGAGCAAUCGAAGCAUCGAACCGAAGCCCCAGUAAACGGCGGCCGUAACUAUAACGGUCCUAAGGUAGCGAAAUUCCUUGUCGGGUAAGUUCCGACCCGCACGAAUGGUGUAACGACUUGUGAGCUGUCUCAACAGGGGGCCCGGUGAAAUUGAAGUAUGGGUGAAGAUGCCCAUUACCCGCGACUGGACGGAGAGACCCCGUAGAGCUUUACUGCAGCCUGAUAUUGAGUUUCGGUAACUGAUGCACAGGAUAGGUGGGAGUCUGAGAGACAUGGGUUUCGGCUCGUGUGGAGACGCUGUUGGGAUACCACUCUUCGGUUACUGAAAUUCUAACAUAGCUCUGUGAAACCAGAGGAUGGACAGUGUCAGGUGGACAGUUUGACUGGGGCGGUCGCCUCCGAAAGAGUAACGGAGGCGCCCAAAGGUACCCUCAGAAUGGAUGGAAACCAUUCGAAGAGCGCAAAGGCAGAAGGGUGCCUGACUGCGAGAUUGACAAAUCGAGCAGAGACGAAAGUCGGGCUUAGUGAUCCGGCGGUAUUGAGUGGAAAAGCCGUCGCUUAACGGAUAAAAGCUACCUCGGGGAUAACAGGCUGAUCUCCCCCAAGAGUCCACAUCGACGGGGAGGUUUGGCACCUCGAUGUCGGCUCGUCGCAUCCUGGGGCUGAAGCAGGUCCCAAGGGUUUGGCUGUUCGCCAAUUAAAGCGGCACGCGAGCUGGGUUCAGAACGUCGUGAGACAGUUCGGUCCCUAUCCAUCGUGGGCGUAGGAGUCAUGAGAGGAGCUGUUCCUAGUACGAGAGGACCGGAAUGGACGCACCACUGGUGCAACUGUUGUCGUGCCAACGGCAUAGCAGGGAAGCGAAGUGCGGAUGGGAUAAACGCUGAAGGCAUCUAAGCGUGAAGCCCACCUCAAGAAUAAGACUCCACAAUAGACCCCUGGAGGACUACCAGGUAGAUAGGUCAUCGGUGGAAGCGCCGUAAGGUGU